Molecule: ribosomal RNA, 663 nt
Filed under: Micruropus laeviusculus
Lineage: Eukaryota; Metazoa; Arthropoda; Malacostraca; Amphipoda; Micruropodidae
Description: bacterial SSU rRNA
Rfam family: Eukaryotic small subunit ribosomal RNA
Source: RNAcentral
CUCUUUCUCGAUUCAGUGGAUGGUGGUGCAUGGCCGUUCUUAGUUGGUGGAGUGAUCUGUCUGGUUAAUUCCGAUAACGAACGAGACUCUCCCCUGCUAACUAGUCGCUUGGAUCUUGAUCAGUGGGUUGAGUGCCGAGUAACUCUCGCUGUGCGUGUUGUGCGUCUCGUUCCUCACGGUUCGUUGCGUGCUCAUGUGUGGCGUUGGAUGCCUUGGAUCACACUGCACCCCAAGUCCGCCGCUUUGCUAUAACUCUUCUUAGAGGGAUUCACGGCACUGAAGCCGUAAGAGACUGAGAGCAAUAACAGGUCUGUGAUGCCCUUAGAUGCUCUGGGCCGCACGCGCGCUACAAUGCCGGGCACAGCAGGUGUUUCUCCUGCUCCGACAGGAGCGGGUAACCCUCUGAAAGCCAGUGUUCUUGCAAGUGCUUCCUCCCUCGUGGAGUUGCACAGAGGCGUGCUUGGGCCUGGGACUUGCAAUUCUUUCCCACCAACGAGGAAUGCCUAGUAGCGGCGGGUCACUGAGCCCGCUGUGACUCAGUCCCUGCCCUUUGUACACACCGCCCGUCGCUACUACCGAUUGGGUGUACCAGUGAGAGCCUUGGACUGGCGUCCGUUGUUGCUCGUAAGAGUGACAAGCGGGUCCGACGGAAAGAGGUCCGAA